This 959-nucleotide long non-coding RNA is filed under the name Mus pahari (shrew mouse). Its description in RNAcentral is "RIKEN cDNA 1700042O10 gene (MGP_PahariEiJ_G0002424.1)". Lineage: Eukaryota; Metazoa; Chordata; Mammalia; Rodentia; Muridae. The record is from RNAcentral.
GAUGCUCUGGGCUGCUGAUGCCCUGAGCCGAAAGGUCCUUUCAUCUUCUAGGUUUUACAAAUGUCACCUCACACAGGUGGCAUGAAUUCACCAAGGAUGGCCAUGAACUCCUGAUCCUCCUGCUUCCUCCUCUCAACUGUUGGUAUUACAGUGCUCUCCUCUAAAGGGACUACACACAGGCAUGAUUUAAAGAUGACCCAGCCUCCAUUUCAGAGUUACCAUUUGGGUGCACAUUUCAGCCAAGAGUACUUGGGAGACAAUGGUGAUGCAUAAAGAAGCUGAAGUCUCAGGAUGUUCUACAAACCCGAGAGAGGCCCUCAGCCUCCCAGCCCACCAGUGGUGUCUGUCUACUGGAAAUAACAUAGUUUUAUGGACAAAGCAGGAUGUGCCAGGGAAAAAAACAAAUAAGCACGCACCAACCCACUAUGAAAGGAAAUAGUCCUAGUCAAACAGUAACGUAAUACCUGGUUAUUCUUUUCAAACCGUCCUGUCAUUUAUUUGAAGAUUAUUUUCCACUGAAACCUUUGCAGCAGGUACUUAGAGCAAAGUCUCAAGAGACUCUCAUGCUCAUUUUGGAGCUGUCUGAUAUUCAUGGCUCCGAGCUGGGCAAAUAUUAGCUGGAAGAUGUAGACGGUGAUAAGGCCAACGGCCUACACUUCUCCAGACCCUGAAAGGGUUUCUGUUGACACAACCUGAUUUGUCUCGGCAGCAGCUGCACUGCAUAGAUUUUACACGGAACCCCUGUCAUAGUGGGUGCAUGUGUGGGGAGCCAGGCACCUCCCUGGAUGUUUUAUCAUAGGAGUGACAGUCAGCACAGUUCUAUACUCAUGGGCUUUAGGAAGAUGAGAACUCCCAAUCAACCCUCAGUUAUGAAGUUAUUUAUUGUUGUAGCUUUCUGUUUCACUGCUGUCCUUUGGUAACUGAGAAUAAGUGAAUAAAUAAAUGAGUGAAUCCGUUCA